CCUACGGGUGGCAGCAGUGAGGAAUAUUGGUCAAUGGGCGCAAGCCUGAACCAGCCAAGUCGCGUGAGGGAUGAUGGUCCUAUGGAUUGUAAACCUCUUUUGUCGGGGAGCAAGGCCCGCCACGUGUGGCGGGAAGGAGAGUACCCGAAGAAAAAGCAUCGGCUAACUCCGUGCCAGCAGCCGCGGUAAUACGGAGGAUGCGAGCGUUAUCCGGAUUUAUUGGGUUUAAAGGGUGCGUAGGCGGAAGGUUAAGUCAGUGGUCAAAUGUCGGUGCUCAACACCGGCCUGCCGUUGAAACUGGUCUUCUUGAGUGAGCGAGAAGUAUGCGGAAUGCGUGGUGUAGCGGUGAAAUGCAUAGAUAUCACGCAGAACCCCGAUUGCGAAGGCAGCCUGCCGGGGUGCGACUGACGCUGAGGCUCGAAGGUGCGGGUAUCAAACAGGAUUAGAUACCCUAGUAGUC
RNAcentral lists this ribosomal RNA (460 nucleotides) under uncultured bacterium. Its description in RNAcentral is "partial 16S ribosomal RNA". It matches the Rfam family "Bacterial small subunit ribosomal RNA", at positions 338 to 795 of the family's 1533-position model. The record is from RNAcentral.